This 266-nucleotide non-coding RNA is filed under the name Psychrobacillus sp. RNAcentral describes it as "T-box sequence". It matches the Rfam family "T-box leader". From Rfam's summary of the family: Uncharged tRNA acts as the effector for transcription antitermination of genes in the T-box leader family. T-boxes are found upstream of many aminoacyl-tRNA synthetase genes and some amino acid biosynthetic genes usually in Gram-positive bacteria. The anticodon of a specific tRNA base pairs to a specifier sequence within the T-box motif, and the NCCA acceptor tail of the tRNA base pairs to a conserved bulge in the T-box antiterminator hairpin. The record is from RNAcentral. Lineage: Bacteria; Bacillati; Bacillota; Bacilli; Caryophanales; Bacillaceae.
AAAAUAGCGAUGAAGAGAAGAGUAAUUAUGAUUAAUUAUUUCCAGAGAGCUCCUAUUGGUGAGAAGGAGUAUUAAUUAUGCUAGUGAAAAAAGGCUCGGAGCUUCGCACGGAUCUAAGACAUAAUCUUAGUGAUAAUGCGACGGGAUCUCCCGUUAUAGAGAUAGGGUAUAAUCAAUGUGUUAAUUGCCGUACCCGAAAAGGUUGAUAUGGUGACAUAUCAAUAAACUGGGGUGGUACCACGAAGCUAAUAACUCUCGUCCUCAAG